This 253-nucleotide ribosomal RNA is filed under the name uncultured bacterium. RNAcentral describes it as "partial 16S ribosomal RNA". It matches the Rfam family "Bacterial small subunit ribosomal RNA", at positions 524 to 776 of the family's 1533-position model. The record is from RNAcentral.
UACAGAGGGUGCAAGCGUUAAUCGGAAUUACUGGGCGUAAAGCGUGCGUAGACGGUUAUGUAAGUCGGGUGUGAAAGCCCCGGGCUCAACCUGGGAAUGCCAUUCGAGACUGCAUAGCUAGGGUGCGGAAGAGGGAAGCGGAAUUUCCGGUGUAGCGGUGAAAUGCGUAGAUAUCGUAAGGAAGACCAGUGGCGAAGGCGGGUCUCUGGACAGUUCCUGACGCUGAGGCACGAAGGUCAGGGGAGCAAACGGG